CGGAUGAAACCUCGAACAGCUACAGCUACGAUGUCUCUUGCAGGAAAAAAAUGUGCAUAUUUUUAUUGAUUUCGCAGAAUACACAAAAACAAUGGAUUACAUAAAACUAGCACAGAAGACAUUGUAGCUGCACUUGUUCAAGGUUUCAACG
Molecule: microRNA precursor, 151 nt
Filed under: Picea abies (Norway spruce)
Lineage: Eukaryota; Viridiplantae; Streptophyta; Pinopsida; Pinales; Pinaceae
Description: miR11515b stem-loop (pab-MIR11515b)
Source: miRBase by way of RNAcentral